CAGUCGCCGCGGUAAUACGUAGGUCCCGAGCGUUGUCCGGAUUUAUUGGGCGUAAAGGGAGCGCAGGCGGUUUCUUAAGUCUGAUGUGAAAGCCCCCGGCUCAACCGGGGAGGGUCAUUGGAAACUGGGAAACUUGAGUGCAGAAGAGGAGAGUGGAAUUCCACGUGUAGCGGUGAAAUGCGUAGAGAUGUGGAGGAACACCAGUGGCGAAGGCGACUCUCUGGUCUGUAACUGACGCUGAGGAGCGAAAGCGUGGGGAGCGAACAGGAUUAGAUACCCCUGUAGUCCCUGUCUCUUAUAA
RNAcentral lists this ribosomal RNA (301 nucleotides) under uncultured bacterium. Its description in RNAcentral is "partial 16S ribosomal RNA". It matches the Rfam family "Bacterial small subunit ribosomal RNA", at positions 509 to 809 of the family's 1533-position model. The record is from RNAcentral.